AUGCUGCAUUACACUGCAGGAUCCAUUUUGGACAGCUCUAUUCUCUUGCUCGCUUUGCUUUUCAGAAACUCAGAAUGUACAAAGGAUGUUGUCUUCAUUCCCUUGGGAAAGACUGAAGCUUGUUGCUGUUGUGAAGAUGAUCAGCAGUUACCCAAGGUCAAAAGAAGAAUCUCAUCAGAAUUAUUUCUUCCUCGUCUGCUCUUUGGACUUGAUGCCCAGAGGCAGAAAACUUUUUUUGUCCAAUGUUUAUCUGAAAUGAUGUUUCAAGCAUAUCAGGAAGACCACUCAUUUUCCAAAGGUCACAUUCAGAAUGAGUGAACCCAUACUACAUUCUUUUCAAGGCAGUUUCCACUAAGGGAAAUGCCCCAGUAUGUGAUAGUGAUGUUUGGAGUCAGACAGAGAUUCCAUACCUACUUGUUAUCAUUUGGGUCUAGGAUUCUCUUAGAAAUACAGUAAUAAAGAUAACAGGUACAAUAACA
This 479-nucleotide long non-coding RNA is filed under the name Anas platyrhynchos platyrhynchos (common mallard). Its description in RNAcentral is "lncRNA (ENSAPLG00000019778.1)". Lineage: Eukaryota; Metazoa; Chordata; Aves; Anseriformes; Anatidae. The record is from RNAcentral.